AGUGAACGCUGGCGGUAGGCCUAACACAUGCAAGUCGAACGGCAGCACAGUAAGAGCUUGCUCUUACGGGUGGCGAGUGGCGGACGGGUGAGGAAUACAUCGGAAUCUACUUUUUCGUGGGGGAUAACGUAGGGAAACUUACGCUAAUACCGCAUACGACCUACGGGUGAAAGCAGGGGAUCUUCGGACCUUGCGCGAUUGAAUGAGCCGAUGUCGGAUUAGCUAGUUGGCGGGGUAAAGGCCCACCAAGGCGACGAUCCGUAGCUGGUCUGAGAGGAUGGUUCGCCACACCUGAACUGAGAACAGGUCCCAGAUCCUACGGGAGGCAGCAGUGGGGAAUAUUGGACAAUGGGCGCAAGCCUGAUCCAGCCAUACCGCGUGGGUGAAGAAGGCCUUCGGGUUGUAAAGCCCUUUUGUUGGGAAAGAAAAGCAGCAGGUUAAUACCCCGCUGUUCUGACGGUACCCAAAGAAUAAGCACCGGCUAACUUCGUG
Molecule: ribosomal RNA, 492 nt
Filed under: uncultured bacterium
Lineage: Bacteria
Description: partial 16S ribosomal RNA
Rfam family: Bacterial small subunit ribosomal RNA
Source: RNAcentral